RNAcentral lists this long non-coding RNA (1127 nucleotides) under Homo sapiens (human). RNAcentral's name for it is "HSALNT0256478". The record is from RNAcentral. Lineage: Eukaryota; Metazoa; Chordata; Mammalia; Primates; Hominidae.
CAUUCAUGUGUUAAUGGAUAAAUAGGUUAUCAUGGGAGUGGGACUGGUUUGGAGCUUGCAGUGAGCUGAGAUUGCACCACUGCACUCCAGCCUGGGCGACAGAGUGAGACUCCAUCUCAAAAAAAAAAAAUAAAUAAAAUAAAUAAAAUAAAAUAAAAAGAGGAAGAAAGGCCAGGCUCAGUGGCUCAUGCCUGUAAUUCCAGCACCUUGGGAGGCCAAGGCACGCAGAUCACCUGAGGUCAGGAGUUCGAGACCAGCCUGGCCAACAUGGAGAAAUCCCAUCUCUACUAAAAAUACAAAAAUUAGCCGGGCAUGGUGGCGGAUGCCUGUAAUCCCAUCUACUUGGGAGGCUGAGGCACGAGAAUCACUUGGACCCAGAAGGCAAAGGUUGAGGUGGAGGUUACAGUGAGCCAAAGUCGUGCCACUGCACUCCAGCCUGGGCAACAGAGCAGGACUCCGUUUCAAAAAAAAAAGGAAGAGAGACCUGAGCUUGCACACAGCCUGCUAGCCAUGUGAUGCCCUGUGCUACCUCAAGACUCUGCAGAGUCCCCACCAGCAAGAAGGCCCUUGAUUUUGGAUAUCUCAGCCUCCAGAACUGUAAGAAAUAAAUUUCUCUUCUUUAAAAAUUGCCCAGUCUCAGGUGUUCUUUUAUAGCGAUGCAAAAUGGACUAAGACCCAAGUCUAUUCAUAAGAGUGGAAUUCUUUUGGGGGAUAACAUUUCACUUAAUUGGGGCUCCCAGUUGUAUUUCCUGUCGUCAAUUGAUGGUACAUGUUCACCUUUGAAAAACCUUCCUGGCUCACAAAAACAGGCGAGUGUGGGCACUUUUCAUGCCAGGUAAAAUCUACAUGAAGAAGUUUUUUUUGUUUUUUUUGUUUUUUUUUUUUUUGAGACAGAGUCUUGCUCUGUCACCCAGGCUGGAGUGCAGUGGUGUGAUCUCUGCUCACUGCAACUUCUGCCUCUGGGGUUCAAGCAAUUCUGCCUCAGCCUCCCGAGUAGCUGGGACUACAGGUGCACACCACACCCAGCUAAUUUUUUUUUUUUUCUGAGGAGUCUCACUCUGUUGCCCAGACCGGAGUCCAGUGGUGCAGUCUCUGCUCACUGCAAGCUCCACCUCCCGGGUUCACAC